Molecule: ribosomal RNA, 292 nt
Filed under: Pseudomonas aeruginosa
Lineage: Bacteria; Pseudomonadati; Pseudomonadota; Gammaproteobacteria; Pseudomonadales; Pseudomonadaceae
Also listed under: 1 other name
Description: partial 23S ribosomal RNA
Rfam family: Bacterial large subunit ribosomal RNA
Source: RNAcentral
GUUUGAGAUUUGAGAGGGGCUGCUCCUAGUACGAGAGGACCGGAGUGGACGAACCUCUGGUGUUCCGGUUGUCACGCCAGUGGCAUUGCCGGGUAGCUAUGUUCGGAAAAGAUAACCGCUGAAAGCAUCUAAGCGGGAAACUUGCCUCAAGAUGAGAUCUCACUGGGAACUUGAUUCCCCUGAAGGGCCGUCGAAGACUACGACGUUGAUAGGCUGGGUGUGUAAGCGUUGUGAGGCGUUGAGCUAACCAGUACUAAUUGCCCGUGAGGCUUGACCAUAUAACACCCAAACA